This 449-nucleotide unclassified non-coding RNA is filed under the name uncultured Clavulina. RNAcentral describes it as "sequence contains ITS2". The stretch from base 1 to 154 matches the Rfam family "5.8S ribosomal RNA". Lineage: Eukaryota; Fungi; Basidiomycota; Agaricomycetes; Cantharellales; Hydnaceae. The record is from RNAcentral.
AACUUUUAACAAUGUAUCUCUUGGCUCUCGCAUCGGUUAAGAACGCAGCGAAAUGCGAUAAGUAAUGUGAAUUGCAGAAUUCAGUGAAGCAUCGAAUUUUUGAACGCACCUUGCGCUCCCUGGUAUUCCGGGGAGCACGCCUGUUCGAGGGUCGUGAAAUUCUCAAACUGAGAUGCUUUUUUGUUUCUCGGCUUUGGGUUCGGCUUUGCAGUCCCCUUUGAUUGGGAUGGCUGGCCUGAAAAGCAUUAGCUGGCUUUUCAUGUGGCAUUGGUUCUACUCAGCGUGAUAAUGAUCUGACCGCCGAGGACAUCUUUCGAGAUGGCCAAUUCUCAUUUGGGCUGCUUCUAAUCUUGGUCGAGCAGAUUCUGAAUCUGUUCCACUUUUCAACUUUUGACCUCGAAUCAGGUGGGACUACCCGCUGAACUUAAGCAUAUCAAUAAGCGGAGGCU